UACAGAGGGUGCAAGCGUUGUUCGGAAUUAUUGGGCGUAAAGAGCGUGUAGGCGGCCACACAGGUCUGCUGUGAAAACUCGAGGCUCAACCUCGAGCUGUCGGUGGAAACCGUGUGGCUAGAGUCCGGAAGAGGAGAGUGGAAUUCCCGGUGUAGCGGUGAAAUGCGCAGAUAUCGGGAAGAACACCCGUGGCGAAGGCGGCUCUCUGGGACGGUACUGACGCUGAGACGCGAAAGCGUGGGGAGCGAACAGG
RNAcentral lists this ribosomal RNA (253 nucleotides) under uncultured bacterium. Its description in RNAcentral is "partial 16S ribosomal RNA". It matches the Rfam family "Bacterial small subunit ribosomal RNA", at positions 524 to 776 of the family's 1533-position model. The record is from RNAcentral.